Gigantopelta aegis is the source of this 781-nucleotide long non-coding RNA. RefSeq lists it as uncharacterized. Lineage: Eukaryota; Metazoa; Mollusca; Gastropoda; Neomphalida; Peltospiridae. The record is from RefSeq and is a predicted model, not a curated record. The transcript has 3 exons.
AAACGUCAAUCCUUCCUUUAAUUCGACGUGACGUCAACAAUGGUAGUCGACGUCAACACAGACGGACGGAAGGACGGACGGACAGUUACCGCCACACCCACGUUCCCCAUCUAGCGAGCGCUUUACCACUGGGCCACGUCUGGACCCUUGAGUGGGGUCGGAAUCUUGAAAACGCACACUUUGUUUAUGUCUGAAUAAAUUGCAACAAGAGAAAAUAAAAUAAAAAAGAAGAAAACGAAAGAAAAACAGAAGAAAGGAAUAACAGAAAACAGAAGGAAAAAAAAGAAGAGAGAAAACGCAAAAGAAAACAAACGGGGGGGGGGGGGGGGUGAGUAUUUAUGACAACCAAUUAAAUUAAAACUUUUAUAAACGCAAAGGAAACACGUCUUCAACUCUUGUGUACUAAGAUAUCAUCUUCCAGUCCUACUAAUCACCGGAAUGUUGUGUGACUGGUAUUUAGACGUCAGCGUAUCAAAAAGCUUGCGCGGUGUAGUAUCAAUAAUUCGAAUGCGGGUGAGCUCGACGUUCGUGUCUGAAACUGCUAUUUUUGGCGGGGAAAUCCGCGUGGAGUGACCCCAUGAUGCAACAGUCAGAGCUGAAAUUAAAAACAAAAUGGAGGACAAUUAUUUUAGAAAUCAUAAAAAAUAUGGCUGAAGCUUUACCAUUUGGCAAUAUCCCCGUGAAUUCGUUUAUCCGUCAGUGUAGUCAUUCAUUUAUUCAUUCGCUCGUUCGUUCGUUCAAUCAUUUAUUCAUUGCAUUUUAUUGAUCUGUUUAAUGAAAC